UGCUGCGGCGGCUGCAGGUGCACCUGGAGGACAUGGAGCUGCGCCUGGAGCUGCCCCCACAGCCUGGGGGGGGCCUGGGGGGGGCCCUGGAGCUGCACCUGCCCAGGGUGGAGUACGAGGACAUGGGGGAGGGUCCCGGCCCCCCCCCCGUGCUGCAGAAGCGGCUGCGGCUGCACGACCUGCGGCUGCUGUGGGCGGAGCCAGCCCCACCUGGGCAGCAGCGCUGCAGUUCCCCCGCCGCCCAUCUGGGGGCGCUGCUCCCGGGCCCUGCGGAGCUGCGGCUGCGCCUGAGGCGGAGCGAGAGAGCGGCGGGGCCGGCGGUGGGACUGGGGAAACUGGGGGGAACUGGGGGGACUGGGGGGGACUGGGAGGGACUGGGAGGGGACUGGGAGGGGACUGGGAGGGGACUGGGAGGGACUGGGAGGGACUGGGGGGGACUGGGGGGGGAUUGGGGGGACUGGGAGGGGGAUGGGGGUUUGGUUUUGGGCAUUUCUGGGCAAUUUGGGGUCUCAUUUUGGCAUUUUUGGGGUCUCGUUUUUGGGGAUUUUAGGGUGUUUUUGGGGUCUCGUUUUGGGAUUUUUGGGGUCUCGUUUUGGGGGUUUUGGUGUCUGGUUUUGGGGUUUUUGGGGUGUUUUUGGGGCCUCACUUUUAGGGUGGUUUUGGGGUCUGGUUUCGGGGUUUUUUGGGUGUUUUUGGGGUCUCAUUUUGGAGUUUUUGGGGUGAUUUUGGGGUCUCACUUUCGGGGUUUUUGGGGUGUGUUUGGGGUCUCGUUUUGGGGUUUUUGGGGUGUUUUUGGGGUCUCACUUUUGGGGUGUUUUUGGGGUGUGUUCGGGGUCUCAUUUCGGGGUUUUUGGGGUGUUUUUGGGGGACUCACUUGCGGUGUUUUGGGGAUGUUUUUGGGGUCUGGUUUCGGGGUUUUUGGGGUGUUUUUGGGGUCUGGUUUUGGGGUUUUUGGGGUGAUUUUGGGGUCUGGUUUCGGGGUUUUUGGGGUGUGUUUGGGGUCUGGUUUAGGGGUUUUUGGGGUGAUUUUGGGGUCUGGUUUAGGGGUUUUUGGGGUGAUUUUGGGGUGACUUUGGGGUGAUUUUGGGGUCUGACCGCCCCUCCGCAGGUGGAGCUGGAGGCCACCGUGGGGUCCCUGCACCUGCUGCUGCCCCCCCCCCCUGCUGGGGGUCCUGCGGGGGGCUCUGGACCCCCCCGGUGAGAGCCCCUCCCCACCCAGCACCCCCAACCCGGCGGGACCCCAAACCUGGGGGGGGAGGGGCUGGGGGGGGUUGGGGGUCUCCUGGACCCCCGAAUCCUCUGGGGGGCAGUGGGGUAUUUUGGGGGGGGGUUUGGGGGGGCUUUGAGUUAUUUUGGGGUGUUUUUGAGGUGCUCCGUGCCGGUUUUGGGAUGUUUUCGGGCUGUUUUGGGGCGCUGUGUGUUAUUUUGGCAGAUUUUGGGGUGCUCUGUGUUAUUUUUAAGAUAUUUUGGGAUAUUUUGGGGCAGUGUGUGUUAUUUUGGGGUGCUCUGUGUUAUUUUUGGGAUAUUUUGGGGUGCUGUAUGUUAUUUUUAAGAUAUUUUGGGAUAUUUUGGGGCAGUGUGUGUUUUUCGGGGUAUUUUGGGGUGUUCUGUGUUAUUUUUGGGUAUUUUGGGGUGCUCUGUGAUAUUUUUGGGUAUUUUGGGACGCUCUGUGAUCAUUUUGGGAUGUUUUGGGCUGUUUUGGGACGCUCUCUGAUAUUUUUGGGUAUUUUGGGAUGCUCUGUGAUAUUUUUGGGUAUUUUGGGAUGCUCUGUGAUAUUUUUGGCUAUUUUGGGGUGCUCUGUGAUCAUUUUGGGGUGUUUGGGGCUGAUUUCGGGCUCUGCCCCCCCAGGUCCCCCCCCCGGGGGUCGCAGCCGCCCCCUGGGCCCGCAGGACCUGGCGCUGAUCGAGCGGGAGCUGAGCCGGGGCCUGCGGGGGGGGCGCGACCCCCCGACCCCCCCCGGGGGCGACCCCGACGGCGGUGAGGGGGGGGGGGGGCUGGGGGGGCUCCGGGGUGGGUUUUGGGGGGGUCUUGG
RNAcentral lists this long non-coding RNA (2033 nucleotides) under Taeniopygia guttata (zebra finch). RNAcentral describes it as "lncRNA (ENSTGUG00000020102.1)". The record is from RNAcentral. Lineage: Eukaryota; Metazoa; Chordata; Aves; Passeriformes; Estrildidae.